CAGUCGCCACGGGAAUACGAAGGGGGCUAGCGUUGCUCGGAAUUACUGGGCGUAAAGGGCGCGUAGGCGGACAGUUCAGUCGGGGGUGAAAGCCCGGGGCUCAACCUCGGAAUUGCCUUCGAUACUGGCUGUCUUGAGUAUGAGAGAGGUGUGUGGAACUCCGAGUGUAGAGGUGAAAUUCGUAGAUAUUCGGAAGAACACCAGUGGCGAAGGCGACACACUGGCUCAUUACUGACGCUGAGGCGCGAAAGCGUGGGGAGCAAACAGGAUUAGAUACCCCUGUAGUCCCUGUCUCUUAUAC
This 301-nucleotide ribosomal RNA is filed under the name uncultured bacterium. Its description in RNAcentral is "partial 16S ribosomal RNA". It matches the Rfam family "Bacterial small subunit ribosomal RNA", at positions 509 to 807 of the family's 1533-position model. The record is from RNAcentral.